This 468-nucleotide ribosomal RNA is filed under the name uncultured bacterium. RNAcentral describes it as "partial 16S ribosomal RNA". It matches the Rfam family "Bacterial small subunit ribosomal RNA", at positions 28 to 507 of the family's 1533-position model. The record is from RNAcentral.
GACGAACGCUGGCGGCGUGCUUAACACAUGCAAGUCGAACGGACAGGCCCUGCUUUUGUGGGGUGCUCGAGUGGCGAACGGGGGAGUAAAACGUGAGUAACCUGCCCUUGACUUUGGGAGAAAUUCAGGAAACUGGGGCUAAUACCGGGUAGGAGCUCUUGCUGCAUGGGGGGGGUUGGUAAGUUUCGGCGGUUGUGGAUGGACUCGCGGCUUAUCAGCUUGUUGGUGGGGUAGUGGCUUACCAAGGCUUUGACGGGUAGCCGGCCUGGGAGGGUGACCGGCGACAUUGGGACUGAGAUACGGACCAGACUGCUACGGGCGGCAGCAGUGGGGAAUAUUGCACAAUGGGCGGAAGCCUGAUGCAGCGACGCCGCGUGCGGGAUGACGGCCUUCGGGUUGUAAACCGCUUUCGCCUGUGACGAAGCGUGAGUGACGGUAAUGGGUAAAGAAGCACCGGCUAACUACGUG